GAUGAACGCUGGCGGCGUGCUUAACACAUGCAAGUCGAACGGUGAAGCAGGAGCUUGCUCUUGUGGAUCAGUGGCGAACGGGUGAGUAACACGUGAGCAACCUGCCCCUGACUCUGGGAUAAGCGCUGGAAACGGCGUCUAAUACUGGAUAUGUGAUGUGACCGCAUGGUCUGCAUCUGGAAAGAAUUUCGGUUGGGGAUGGGCUCACGGCCUAUCAGCUUGUUGGUGGGGUAAUGGCUCACCAAGGCGUCGACGGGUAGCCGGCGUGAGAGGGUGACCGGCCACGCGGGGAAUGAGACACGGCCCAGACUCCUACGGGAGGCAGCAGUGGGGAAUAUUACACAAUGGGCGGAAGCCUGAUGCAGCAACGCCGCGGGAGGGAUGACGGCCUUCGGGUUGUAAACCUCUUUUAGCAGGGAAGAAGCGAAAGUGACGGUACCUGCAGAAAAAGCACCGGCUAACUACGUGCCAGCCGCCGCCGUAA
This 484-nucleotide ribosomal RNA is filed under the name uncultured bacterium. RNAcentral describes it as "partial 16S ribosomal RNA". It matches the Rfam family "Bacterial small subunit ribosomal RNA", at positions 28 to 523 of the family's 1533-position model. The record is from RNAcentral.